ACAUCGUACGUUUUCUCUAAAAUAUUGUGGCAUGUGAAAAAUUGUGAAAAAGUUAUUGUGAAAAAGUUGUGAAAAAUUUCUUAAAUUUAAUAAAUUUUGUGAAAGAAACUAGGAAAGGUGCUCCACCAGGCCACUGAAGAACACUUGAACGUGUGAAAUCCUGGCGAAUGCUGGUGCAUCCGCGGAAGCUUACCUGUGCAGGGUAUGACAACUACGAGAGUAACGAGAUUAACAAGCUGCAACUACUAGGCGAGGCAACCAGUCAGACCAGGCGAGGAAAAUCUAGAGUCGAGGCAGGAGACUUGGAUUGACAAGCGACCCAGGCGCAUUAUAAAACUUGAGUACCAUGGACCACCCUGCAAUUGAAAUCGGCUCAAUUGUGUGUAGGCUCCACGGUUCAGCAACAUCAGGGAAUCCGAUUCCGAUCAGAUGGAGUCCCACAUCCAUGUCCAAUCAUCCACUGAAAAUGGGGGGCGGCCCCGGAAGCUGUUCGCUUUUUCAUUUGUGGCAAGAAAAAAUGGCGUUUGUGGCUUGGGCCUGGUCUAACACCCAGCACUCAAGCCAAAACCGCAAAAACAACAAGGCAUUUGAUGGUCAAAUAUACCUCUACCGCAUACAACUGCCAUGAAUCACCAUCACCUGGCUGAAUGGAACGGAACGGAUCGGAUGGGAUCAGUGGUGUUCUGGUUUGGGUAGUGGCUUCGCCUCCGGCAGAGGAGGAACAUCCAUCAAUGUGCCGUUGACAUUUGCUUGGACCGCUGACAAGAAUUGUCACAAUAAACAAUACAACCACGACGACAACGACAACAACAAGAAUAAUUCAGGCAGCGAAGAGGACACGUGACGUGAUCUGGAAGGGAGACCAAGUUCGGGAUGGGAUUCGGAAAACAGGAGUUGGUAAAGGAAUCAGCCUGAUGAUUAGUUCGAUUCUUUAAGGAUUCGCGGAUUCUUCAAGGAAUUAUUCAAUGAUGUUGGGAAGUAUAUUUUAUUAAAUAUUCUUUAAAUGCUUUCACUAAAAUAUUCUUAAAAGGAGAUCAUAUAUGCGUAGAGUAGUUUUUAGAAUAAGCUUUAGUCUUUUCAGAAAUUAAAAGCAAGGAUUUAAGUGGUGAUUCGAUUUGAUUCAUCUAAUGGAUUUUUGGAAUUUGCUGGAAAUGGACCCAUGGGAGCUACUCUCGAAUGAUGUGUACCUCGAAUCUGUAAAUUCAAUCAAAUUGCAAUUAAAAUGAUGACUAACACAAAUAUGGCUUGAAGUCAUAAAACUGA
Molecule: small RNA, 1263 nt
Filed under: Drosophila ananassae
Lineage: Eukaryota; Metazoa; Arthropoda; Insecta; Diptera; Drosophilidae
Description: GF27263
Source: RNAcentral